This 379-nucleotide ribosomal RNA is filed under the name uncultured bacterium. RNAcentral's name for it is "bacterial SSU rRNA". It matches the Rfam family "Bacterial small subunit ribosomal RNA", at positions 790 to 1167 of the family's 1533-position model. The record is from RNAcentral.
GUAGUCCACGCUGUAAACGAUGAGAACUAGAUGUUGGUGCGCGCGAGCGCACAAGUAUCGAAGCUAACGCGAUAAGUUCUCCGCCUGGGGAGUACGGCCGCAAGGUUAAAACUCAAAGGAAUUGACGGGGGCCCGCACAAGCGGUGGAGCAUGUGGUUUAAUUCGAUGCAACGCGAAGAACCUUACCUACCCUUGACAUCCUAGGAAUCUUGCAGAGAUGCGGGAGUGCCGAAAGGAACCUAGAGACAGGUGCUGCAUGGCUGUCGUCAGCUCGUGUUGUGAGAUGUUGGGUUAAGUCCCGUAACGAGCGCAACCCUUAUCCUUAGUUGCCAACACGUCAUGGUGGGGACUCUAAGGAGACUGCCGGUGAAGAACCGGA